UACAGAGACCUCAAGCGUUAUCCGGAUUGAUUGGGCGUAAAGCGUGCGCAGGCGGCUUCUUAAGCCGAUGGUUAAACCCUGAUGCUCAACAUCAGGACUGCCGUCGGAACUGGGAAGCUAGAGUAUGGAAGGGGUCAGCGGAAUUGCCGGUGUAACGGUAAAAUGUGUUAAUAUCGGCAAGAACACCAGAGGCGAAGGCGGCUGACUAGUACGUUACUGACGCUGUUUGCACGAAAGCGUGGGGAGCGAAUGGG
RNAcentral lists this ribosomal RNA (254 nucleotides) under uncultured bacterium. Its description in RNAcentral is "partial 16S ribosomal RNA". It matches the Rfam family "Bacterial small subunit ribosomal RNA", at positions 524 to 776 of the family's 1533-position model. The record is from RNAcentral.